UAUGGCUCAGAACGAACGCUGGCGGCAGGCUUAACACAUGCAAGUCGAACGCCCCGCAAGGGGAGUGGCAGACGGGUGAGUAACGCGUGGGAACGUACCCUUUGGUUCGGAACAACUCAGGGAAACUUGAGCUAAUACCGGAUAAGUGCGAGAGCAGAAAGAUUUAUCGCCGAAGGAUCGGCCCGCGUCCGAUUAGCUAGUUGGUGAGGUAAAGGCUCACCAAGGCGACGAUCGGUAGCUGGUCUGAGAGGAUGAUCAGCCACAUUGGGGCUGAGACACGGCCCAAACUCCUACGGGAGGCAGCAGUGGGGAAUAUUGGACAAUGGGCGCAAGCCUGAAUCCAGCCAUGCCGCGUGAGUGAUGAAGGCCUUAGGGUUGUAAAGCUCUUUCGCCAGGGACGAUAAUGACGGUACCUGGAUAAGAAGCCCCGGCUAACUUCGUGCCAGCCGCGGC
RNAcentral lists this ribosomal RNA (453 nucleotides) under uncultured bacterium. RNAcentral describes it as "bacterial SSU rRNA". It matches the Rfam family "Bacterial small subunit ribosomal RNA", at positions 18 to 518 of the family's 1533-position model. The record is from RNAcentral.